UCCUGCGAUUUUUGNGCUCUAGAAAUGUCU
RNAcentral lists this non-coding RNA (30 nucleotides) under Mus musculus (house mouse). Lineage: Eukaryota; Metazoa; Chordata; Mammalia; Rodentia; Muridae. The record is from RNAcentral.